RNAcentral lists this long non-coding RNA (1529 nucleotides) under Marmota monax (woodchuck). The record is from RNAcentral. Lineage: Eukaryota; Metazoa; Chordata; Mammalia; Rodentia; Sciuridae.
AGGAAAGAAAGAGAAAGAGAAUGAAAGAAAAAAAUGGAAGGAGGAAGAGAAGAGAAAGAAUGAAUGGUGUGGUGAAGGUCCUUGGGUCACACCUCAGCUUUUAGCAUGAACUAAUGAAGGGACAUCUUUCCUCAUGGCCACAUGUAGCAUCCUGGCCACACUUGGAGAAGAGCUGUGCUCUUUCUAUGGACCCUGGCUGAGGGCUAAUACCCUCUGCCUAGUGCUCCUGUCCCCACUUCCUGCAGAGCUUUGCUUCUCUCUUCUACUUCAGUCCUGUCCUUGUCCUGUGUGACAAAAAGCCUUAAGCUGAACCCAUGUUUUCAGCCCUGUUGCACUCCUUUAUAUACAAACAUCCUAGGAAAAUAUUGAAAAAAACCUCUGUUUUUGAAUUGUUAUUAUUUUUUUGAACCAGGGAUUGAACCCAGGGAUACUUUAGCAUUUAGCCACUCAUUCCCAGUCCUUUUUACUUUAUUAUUAUUAUUUUAUUUUGAGACUGUCAUUAUUUAAGUUGCUUAGGGCCUUGCUCAACCUUCCUAGUUGCUGGGCAUGUUCUAUCACACCUAGCUGUGAAAUGGUAGAUAAAAGAGAAAGAGAUACUAGAGAAAAUAAAGUCAGUCUGAAUAAGUAACUUGUAUCCUCUUUCUCUAGGAUCUCCCUUUCCCCCAAAAGAUUAUGUCCCAAGCAAAGUAUUUUAUAUCGCUAUAGAAAUCACCAUCUCCUAUCCCACUCUGGGCAGGGUCUUCUGUGCAGUCUCUGCGGGGGCCCUGCACUAGGCUGGUCCCAGGCCUGCCCCCUGUGUGGCUCAGGCCUCUGGGCUUGGCUAACAAGUUUCUUGGGUGGUUGGACUUUGUCAGCUCCUAGUGUUUCUGUCAGUUUUGUCUUCCUUUUAAAGCUGUGUUGUUUACAUAAGAUUACUUCCUUUACCAGUUAGAAAUAUAACUGAAUCUUUUCACUCCAAUUUAUAAUUUGUCUGACUUUGAAACUGAUAGUCAUGUUUCAUUCUAUGGCAUUUGAGGAAUAUCAAGUUUACCAGAUUUAAAAAAAAAUCCUCAUCUUCCUGAUAUCAAUUUAUAUCUUUUGUCAAUAACAAUGCUAGAUUUAACUUUUUUCCCCAAUCAAAAAUGGAAGAAGUCAACUUAUUCAAAGUCAUUAAAAUUACUAAUACAUUUGGGAUAGCUUAUUUGUAUAUUCCAUUCAUAGUGAUUUAUUAUUUAUUAUCUCUAUUUAUCCACUAAGAUGUCAGGUCCACCAGAGAGUGUUUCUGUUAAUGGUCUCUGACAUGCCCCAGGCAUCUAGACAGGGACUGGCACACAGUGACACUCAAUAAAUCCAUGUCAAAUAACUGUCCUCAAGGGUUAGACUAUUGUAGCAGGCAGAGUGAGCCAACCUGCCUGGGGCAGGGUGGGGUUCCUAUUUGAAACCCCAAUGUGGUCCAUGACCUCCUUCCCUCACUGCCACCCUGAUGCUUAUCAACUCCAGCUACAUAGGCUGCUUACCUGUUCUCUGUCUUAGGCUUAGGGUACAGGGUG